RNAcentral lists this ribosomal RNA (440 nucleotides) under uncultured bacterium. RNAcentral describes it as "partial 16S ribosomal RNA". It matches the Rfam family "Bacterial small subunit ribosomal RNA", at positions 338 to 795 of the family's 1533-position model. The record is from RNAcentral.
CCUACGGGUGGCAGCAGUGGGGAAUAUUGCACAAUGGGGGGAACCCUGAUGCAGCGACGCCGCGUGAGUGAAGAAGUAUUUCGGUAUGUAAAGCUCUAUCAGCAGGGAAGAAAAUGACGGUACCUGACUAAGAAGCACCGGCUAACUACGUGCCAGCAGCCGCGGUAAUACGUAGGGGGCAAGCGUUAUCCGGAUUUACUGGGUGUAAAGGGAGCGCAGACGGCUGUGCAAGUCUGGAGUGAAAGGCGGGGGCACAACCCCCGGACUGCUCUGGAAACUGUAAAGCUGGAGUGCAGGAGAGGUAAGCGGAAUGCCUAGUGUAGCGGUGAAAUGCGUAGAUAUUAGGAGGAACACCAGUGGCGAAGGCGGCUUACUGGACUGCAACUGACGUUGAGGCUCGAAAGCGUGGGGAGCAAACAGGAUUAGAUACCCCGGUAGUC